RNAcentral lists this ribosomal RNA (2153 nucleotides) under human gut metagenome. Its description in RNAcentral is "bacterial LSU rRNA". It matches the Rfam family "Bacterial large subunit ribosomal RNA", at positions 1 to 2003 of the family's 2925-position model. The record is from RNAcentral.
UGCCGCCCUGAAGGGCGUAUGGUGGAUGCCUUGGCAGACAGUACCGAUGAAGGACGUUUGAGGAUGCGAUAAGCCUCGGGGAGCCUCCAACAUGGCUUCGAUCCGAGGAUUUCCGAAUGGGGCAACCCGCCGGCCGUCAUGGGCCGGCACGGAACCUUGUUGUUCCGGGGGUACGCAGGGAAGUGAAACAUCUCAGUACCUGCAGGAAGGGAUACUCCGUGAGUAGUGGCGAGCGAAAGCGGAUCAGACCAAACCAUGGGCGCGUGAUACCCGUCGGGGGUUGCGUUCGUGGUGUUGAGGGAGCGUGUGUCCCGGUUCCGACGGACCGGGCGGGAGUCAUAAAACGGCUUGCCAGGGGAACAGGCUUGAAGGCCUGGCCGCAGAGGGUGCCAGCCCCGUACCUGGAAGCUUGCCGUCUUCCGAUCAUGUGUCCCAAGUAGCGCGGGCCUCGUGGAAUCCCGUGUGAAUCGGCCCCGACCGUGGGGUAAGUCUAAGCAUACCUGUCUGACCGAUAGCGUACCAGUACCGUGAGGGAAAGGUGAAAAGCACCCCGGGAGGGGAGUGAAAGAGUUCCUGAAACCGUGCGCCUACAAUCCGUCGGAGCCUCCUUGUGGGGUGACGGCGUGCCUAUCGAAAAAUGAGUCUGCGAGUCAGUGGUGCGUGGCGAGGCUAACCCGUGGUGGGGGAGCCGUAGCGAAGGCGAGUCUCAAAAGGCGUUUUGAGUCGCGCGCCCUGGACCCGAAGCGGGAUGAUCUAGCCCUGGGCAGGUUGAAGCGCGGGUAAGACCGCGUGGAGGACCGAACCCACCUGGGUUGAAAACCGGGGGGAUGACCUGGGGCUAGGGGUGAAAGGCCAAUCAAAUUCCGUGAUAGCUGGUUCUCUCCGAAAUGCAUUUAGGUGCAGCGUCGGUUGAUUGCAUCGCGGGGGUAGAGCUACUGGAUGCUUGCGGGCCCGUGUCGGGUACCAAUAGCAGCCAAACUCCGAAUACCGUGGAUGUGUAUUCCGGCAGUGAGUCGGCGGGGGAUAAGCUCCGUCGUCGAGAGGGAGACAGCCCAGAUCGUCGUCUAAGGUCCCGAAGCGUGUGCUAAGUGGGAAAGGAUGUGGAGUCGCAUAGACAGCCAGGAGGUUGGCUCAGAAGCAGCCAUCCUUGAAAGAGUGCGUAACAGCUCACUGGUCUAGUGGUUCCGCGCCGACAAUGUAGCGGGGCUCAAGCACACCACCGAAGACGCGGCAGCGGCCUUUGCGGCCGUUGGGUAGGAGAGCGUCCCGCGUGGGGCGAAGCGGCCGGGGAACCGUGCCGUGGACCGCGCGGGAGUGAGAAUGCAGACAUGAGUAGCGAGAGACGGGUGAGGAUCCCGUCCGCUGGAUGACCAAGGGUUCCGGGGCCACGUUCGUCGUCCCCGGGUGAGUCGGGUCCUAAGGCGAGGCCGACAGGCGUAGUCGAAUGGAUGAACGGGUGGAUAUUCCCGUACCGGCGGCGUACCGUAAGAGCCGAACGGAUGAGUACUAACCUCCGGUCGCGUGGCGUCGUUCCCUUCGGGGUUCGGGGUCCGCGGUCGUUGGGAGCGUAGUCCUGGUAGGCUAGCGCACAGGGGUGACACGGAAUGGGAGCCGGCCGCGGAGGUGGUUUUCCGUGGUCAAGCACGCAGCCCGUCCCAUAGGCAAAUCCGUGGGACGCAUAGGGUGAGGUGUGAUGAUGGGCGUCCUUUGGACGCGAUAUCCGGUGGUCCAGGCCGUCGAGAAAAGCCUCGGCGCGAGGGGCGUCGCCGCCCGUACCCCAAACCGACACUGGUGGUCAGGUAGAGAAUACCAAGGCGAUCGAGCGAAUCCUGGUCAAGGAACUCGGCAAAUCACUCCCGUGCCUUCGGUAUAAGGGAGACCCCCGGGCGUGAAGAGGCUUGCCCUCGGAGCGUUGGGGGGUGGCACAGACCAGGGGGUAGCGACUGUUUACCAAAAACACAGGUGCAUGCGAAGGCGCAAGCCGCUGUAUAUGCACUGACGCCUGCCCGGUGCCGGAAGGUUAAGAGGAUCCGUCAGCCCCUUUUGGGGUGAAGCGGUGAAUUCAAGCCCCGGUAAACGGCGGUGGUAACUAUAACCAUCCUAAGGUAGCGAAAUUCCUUGUCGGGUAAGUUCCGACCUGCACGAAUGGCGUA